UUCCAACCUUAUUUGCCGUUAUCAAACUUCAAAUCUCAAUCCAUUGUUCAAUAUCUAAGAUCGAAUAGUUACAGUUCUAUAAUGCAUGCUUAAUGGUGUUGCUUAGGAACAAUAAGAUUGAACUAAAAUACUUUGAAAAGCAAUAACAAAAGAGAUUGGGAUUGUGUAAAAUAUCCAGUUAGUCUUUAAUACCAUCACUAAAUCCCUUAUAGUAAAGUGUCGUCAAAUUCAUUUCUCUCAUCAUUUUCUUCAUAUUACCUUGUUCUUCUUCUAAAAAAGAAAAUUAAACAAAAGGUAGUUUCCUCAAAAAAAAAUUAAACAAAAGGUGGUAAAAUGGAACACAAAUAAAAUAAAAAUACUAAAUUAUCUAAAUAUAAGUUUAUUAUGAAUUUUGGGGUGUUUCGUAAAUCAUGAAAUUAAAAAGCAAGAUAUACAUUCAUUUUAAUUAAACAAAUUUAUGAAAAUAAAAGUGAUCAUACUAUACUUUGAAUUUGUGCAUAAAUACGUUUUGAAAAAUGUUAACGGGUGUUCCCGGGAUACUCUUUAAGACCUUUAAAUGGUAACUUUUAAAAGGUGUUUAAAUGGUAACUUUUUUAUAAUCCUUAAAGAGUGUUUCGGGAGUACUUGUUAACAAGAUCCGAACAUUUUCGCCCGUUCAUGCAUAUAAAUUUUUCGUGCUUCAAGGACAUUUUUCCUAUCAUGAAAGGUUAAAAAAAAUAUUAAAGUUGGUUAAAAAUUAUGAAUUCCUAUAAUUUACUUGAGAGACAUUUAGUAAUGAUUCUUAUUUUUGGAAGAGAUUUUUACCAAGUUAUAAGUGUGAUUUUUUUAAUUUUAUAUUAGGAGAUAGCUAGCUUUACACCUAUAAAAUGAUCAAAUCUUGUUCUAUUUGUUACAUAAAAAAAGUUGAAAAAGAUGGGUGCAAUUCUGAAAUUAGUCUCAGCUAUGUUUCUCUUUCUUUCCCUAUUUCAUGCUGCAAGAAACAUUGACGCAUUAUCUGGAUGUAUUACCAACGAAGAUUGUAUAAAGUAUCAGUGUAGUGCGGAAAAUUGUAUGGUGUGUAUUAAUUUCGCGUGCAAAUGUAAGUAUAGUGUAUUCUAAGAAAAUGAUAAUGAAAUGAAAUAAGAUAGCAAAAAAUAUUAUUUA
Molecule: long non-coding RNA, 1143 nt
Organism: Medicago truncatula (barrel medic)
Lineage: Eukaryota; Viridiplantae; Streptophyta; Magnoliopsida; Fabales; Fabaceae
Exons: 2
Source: RefSeq, a predicted model, not a curated record